Molecule: unclassified non-coding RNA, 336 nt
Filed under: soil metagenome
Description: partial contains 5.8S ribosomal RNA, internal transcribed spacer 2, and large subunit ribosomal RNA
Rfam family: 5.8S ribosomal RNA (bases 1-120)
Source: RNAcentral
GAUGAAGAACGUAGCGAAAUGCGAUAAGUAGUGUGAAUUGCAGAAUUCAGUGAAUCAUCGAAUCUUUGAACGCACAUUGCGCCCCUUGGUAUUCCAUGGGGCAUGCCUGUUCGAGCGUCAUUUGUUCCUUCAAGCUUUGCUUGGUGUUGGGUGUUUGUCUCGCCUUUGCGUGUAGACUCGCCUUAAAAUAAUUGGCAGCCGGCGUAUUGAUUUCGGAGCGCAGUACAUCUCGCGCUUUGCACUCAUAACGACAGCGUCCAAAAGUACAUUUUACACUCUUGACCUCGGAUCAGGUAGGGAUACCCGCUGAACUUAAGCAUAUCAAUAAGCGGAGGA